RNAcentral lists this ribosomal RNA (479 nucleotides) under uncultured Myxococcales bacterium. RNAcentral's name for it is "bacterial SSU rRNA". It matches the Rfam family "Bacterial small subunit ribosomal RNA", at positions 29 to 505 of the family's 1533-position model. Lineage: Bacteria; Pseudomonadati; Myxococcota; Myxococcia; Myxococcales. The record is from RNAcentral.
AGCGAACGUUAGCGGGAGGCUUAACACAUGCAAGUCGAGCGCGAACGUCACCUUCGGGUGACUAGUAGAGCGGCGGACGGGUGAGUAACACGUGGGUAAUCUGCCCUCUGGUGGGGGACAACAUUCCGAAAGGGAUGCUAAUACCGCAUAAGUCGUCGUGGUCUGCGGGCCAUGACGGGAAAGUGGCAACACGCCAGAGGAGGGGCCCGCGUCGCAUCAGCUUGUUGGUGAGGUAAUGGCUCACCAAGGCAAAGACGCGUAGCUGGUCUGAGAGGAUGAUCAGCCACACUGGGACUGAGACACGGCCCAGACUCCUACGGGAGGCAGCAGUGGGGAAUAUUGGACAAUGGGCGAAAGCCUGAUCCAGCCAUCCCGCGUGAGUGAUGAAGGCCCUCGGGUCGUAAAGCUCUGUGGAGAGGGACGAACAAGCACUUCGAGUGCCCUGACGGUACCUCUUUAGCAAGCACCGGCUAACUCCG